Molecule: non-coding RNA, 370 nt
Organism: Miniopterus natalensis
Lineage: Eukaryota; Metazoa; Chordata; Mammalia; Chiroptera; Miniopteridae
Source: RefSeq, a predicted model, not a curated record
AAAUGAGCACAGCAACUGCAAAUAGUGAUGAUUUUAUUUUUUCUUUCCAGCCCUUCUGCCUCUGAAUUAUUUUUUUAAGUUAAUAUACUGGCAAGAACAUCCACUACAGGGAUGAAAGACGUGAGGGUCCUACAGGACCUUGCCUCAUUCCAGAUUUUAAAGGGACCGGCUUCUGAGUAAGAGAGAGAGGCGUGGCGUCUCAGCUAGAUCAGCACACCAUCCACAGCUUUCCUGUGCAUCACUACAGCUACUGAGGACUGGUGACAUGACAUAUCUGUCAGGGCCUGGGCUGCCUGUGGGGCCAGUGGUGUGAUGGCUGGAGCCGCUCGGCUAGAGGGUGACCAGCCAGCCGGGAGGGCAGCUCGGGAAG